Molecule: non-coding RNA, 96 nt
Organism: Lactarius deliciosus
Lineage: Eukaryota; Fungi; Basidiomycota; Agaricomycetes; Russulales; Russulaceae
Source: the annotation of a GenBank genome assembly
UCCCGUUUAGCUCAGUUGGUAGAGCGCGUCACUAGUAACGUGAUCAACGUCACAUUGUCUAUGACGAGGUCAGUCGUUCGAGUCGGCUAAUGGGAA